Molecule: ribosomal RNA, 253 nt
Filed under: uncultured bacterium
Lineage: Bacteria
Description: partial 16S ribosomal RNA
Rfam family: Bacterial small subunit ribosomal RNA
Source: RNAcentral
UACGGAGGGUGCGAGCGUUAAUCGGAAUGACUGGGCGUAAAGGGCAUGUAGGCGGAUAGUUAAGUUAGGUGUGAAAGCCCCGGGCUCAACCUGGGAAUUGCACUUAAAACUGGUUAUCUGGAGUAUUGUAGAGGAAGGUAGAAUUCCACGUGUAGCGGUGAAAUGCGUAGAGAUGUGGAGGAAUACCGGUGGCGAAGGCGGCCUUCUGGACAAAUACUGACGCUGAGAUGCGAAAGCGUGGGGAGCAAACAGG